UGUUGCUAUAAACAUUCAUAUGCGUGUUUUUGGGUGGUGGACAUAAAUAUUUAUCAUCAAUUUCUCCCAGCCUUUUGGUUGAGGGUGUGCCUGAGACAAAGUCAGUGAAGGUGGCCACAAAGCCUGUCCAUUUGCUGAUGUCACACUGGUGGAUCCCUCAAGGAGAGGAAGACAGGAGAGCUGGCUGCUUCAGAGGCCAUUCAGCCUGAUAAACGAGCUGAGGACUUUGUGCCAGGCACUGAGAAAGAAAGUCUUCUUCUAAGCGUUCGUGCUAGAUCUUAUUGGCCUCCAGAUAUCCACGACCAGAACCCUCUCCAUUUAAGACAAGAAUUCUUUUUCCUUUGGGAAGGCCAAGUGAAGGAAAUGUUGAUCCCAGGCAGUGAUAUCUGCAACCUAGAGACUUAAUCCUGACGAGGCUGAUGAAUGUGUGUGUCGAGCUGUUCCUGGCAAACACAGCACCUAUCAGAUAUCACAGCAAAACAACAACAACGACAAAAACGGUUGUUCUUUGGAGUCAGUUUGCUCCUCGUAGGAGGGGUCUAGGUGGAAGGGGCUGAUUUUCAAGCCGAGGCAGUGACUUCUGGGUCAGAUGUGGGUCUGGGACACAGGGAUGGGGACAGGAAUGUGUCUGGGAGGGUGGGCAGGGCUUGAUGUCUUUGGAACGAAGCUCCAGAAGGGCAAGGCACCCUCCUGGGGUUAUGACUGGGCCUGGUGAUGGCAACGAGGAAGGGUGUGUUUGCCGUUGAAGUAUUUAACCAUUGUCUCACUAGUCAGAAAACAAGACUGGCUUGUUGCUUCAUCCCAGCCCAGGGCCCUUCAAACUCAGAUCUCAGCAUGACCCACUCAGGGAACUGUUCUGAGUUUCUCAGUAGGCGACGUCCAGCCCAACUAGCAAGUCUCUCAACCGUAUUACUGAUUUUGAGGAUUUAAAAAAAAGUUUCUCUUUAUUUCUGAUAGUUGAAUUUGGAUUUCAUUACAAUGAUCGACUUGAAAUAUGUGCCGGAGUGUGGCUCUUGUACCACCUACAGCAGAAUCGCCUCAGGGUAGGGGCGUUGAAAAAUGCAUACUUUCCCCAGUCCCAUUCCAGACACACGGAAUGUCUAUUAAAAAUGUUU
This is a non-coding RNA of Kogia breviceps (pygmy sperm whale), 1115 nucleotides long. NCBI's taxonomy places the organism in Eukaryota, Metazoa, Chordata, Mammalia, Artiodactyla, Physeteridae. The record is from RefSeq and is a predicted model, not a curated record.